GAGGGUAUAGCUUAAAUGGUAGAGCGCAUGCUUAGCGUACACAAGGUCCUGGGUUCAAUCCCCAGUACUUCCU
Molecule: transfer RNA, 73 nt
Organism: Camelus ferus (Wild Bactrian camel)
Lineage: Eukaryota; Metazoa; Chordata; Mammalia; Artiodactyla; Camelidae
Rfam family: tRNA
About the family: Transfer RNA (tRNA) molecules are approximately 80 nucleotides in length. Their secondary structure includes four short double-helical elements and three loops (D, anti-codon, and T loops).
Source: Rfam